This is a non-coding RNA of Paramuricea clavata, 201 nucleotides long. The record is from the annotation of a GenBank genome assembly. Lineage: Eukaryota; Metazoa; Cnidaria; Anthozoa; Malacalcyonacea; Plexauridae.
CCUUACUUUUGUCAGACAUUUUUCUGUUAGCCUCUUCAGCAGUUAAUUCGUCAUCUUUCGGUAAAUUUUUCACUUGAUCCGCGCUGGGUGGGAACUCUCCAUUCAAAUCUGGUUUCUUUGAUGAUUUACUCAUAAUAUCCCCAUCUAAAGAGUCUUCCCCCUCUGAUCCUUUGCUGUCCUCGUCGUCAUCUUUGUUAUUCG